RNAcentral lists this ribosomal RNA (40 nucleotides) under uncultured Glomeromycotina. Its description in RNAcentral is "partial 5.8S ribosomal RNA". The record is from RNAcentral. Lineage: Eukaryota; Fungi; Glomeromycota.
CAAACUUGGUCAUUNARAGGAAGUAAAAGUCGUAACAAGG